AUUGAACGCUGGCGGAAUGCUUUACACAUGCAAGUCGAACGGCAGCACGGGGCAACCUGGUGGCGAGUGGCGAACGGGUGAGUAAUACAUCGGAACGUGCCCAGUCGUGGGGGAUAACGUAGCGAAAGCUACGCUAAUACCGCAUACGAUCUACGGAUGAAAGCGGGGGAUCGCAAGACCUCGCGCGAUUGGAGCGGCCGAUGGCAGAUUAGGUAGUUGGUGGGGUAAAGGCUCACCAAGCCGACGAUCUGUAGCUGGUCUGAGAGGACGACCAGCCACACUGGGACUGAGACACGGCCCAGACUCCUACGGGAGGCAGCAGUGGGGAAUUUUGGACAAUGGGCGCAAGCCUGAUCCAGCCAUUCCGCGUGCAGGAUGAAGGCCCUCGGGUUGUAAACUGCUUUUGUACGGAACGAAAAGGCUCUGGUUAAUACCUGGGGCUCAUGACGGUACCGUAAGAAUAAGCACCGGCUAACUACGUGCCAGCCGCCGCGGUAA
Molecule: ribosomal RNA, 498 nt
Filed under: uncultured bacterium
Lineage: Bacteria
Description: partial 16S ribosomal RNA
Rfam family: Bacterial small subunit ribosomal RNA
Source: RNAcentral